RNAcentral lists this ribosomal RNA (253 nucleotides) under uncultured bacterium. RNAcentral's name for it is "partial 16S ribosomal RNA". It matches the Rfam family "Bacterial small subunit ribosomal RNA", at positions 524 to 776 of the family's 1533-position model. The record is from RNAcentral.
GACGAACCGUGCAAACGUUAUUCGGAAUCACUGGGCUUAAAGGGCGCGUAGGCGGACCACCAAGUCCGGGGUGAAAUCCUCCGGCUUAACCGGAGAAUUGCCUGGGAUACUGGUGGUCUUGAGGGAGGUAGGGGCACGCGGAACUUCCGGUGGAGCGGUGAAAUGCGUUGAUAUCGGAAGGAACGCCGGUGGCGAAAGCGGCGUGCUGGCCCUCUUCUGACGCUGAGGCGCGAAAGCCAGGGGAGCGAACGGG